UUUUCAUCUUUUUUAAUCUUCUGUUUUCUUUCCCCUAAAUUAGGGACAGACAUCAGACCUGGUGUGACCCUGGCAAGGAAGAGAAGGAAGAAAAAGCAGAAGAGGAGGAAGAUGAUGAUGGAGAAGAAGAUGGAGGAACACAGAUACCACAGAGUCAGAGUCCUUUUUUUGGAGGGACAUACAUUGGACAAGUUCUUGCUAUUUCACAGACACUGGCUGUGACUGGUUUGUGCAAAACCAGAAGAACAAACCAGUUCUAAAACUAGUGCCAGGCAACCACACAGUUCAGACAUUUUCUUUACCUCCUUAAACUUUUCUCCCUGACGAAUCAGCAAGACAAGUGAUCGUUAUCAAACUAAUCAACUGAAAAUUACACAGUGAAGACACUAAGGAUCUGGGGGCUGUAGUGGUGAUUCGGACUUGGGUUUAGACGCAGACAGAGUUUUGGGGGCGGUGAACUCCUGUAAUGGAGCUUGCGUCUCCAUGUGGAUGGAGCAGGGUGCUGCAGAAGGUACUUCAGCUAUUUGGCUAUUUAUCCAGGGCACUGCAGUUAGCCAUGUCCAGUUUUUCGUGCUCCACUUUAGUUUAUCAACAGUUUGCAAGCUUUAUACACAUGCUCUGUGGAUUCCUUUCCUUUUUAUGUUAGAGCAUGGUUCACACAGCGCCACAUACAGGCCUGGCAUGUGUACAACAGGGACUGGAGUCAAAUUCAGCUCUGUAGUCCUAUGGUAUCACCAUGUCGAAACAGGCGGUCCCGUCCCCUCCCAGAAGGGUUUAAGUUAAAAAUCACUGCUGAAAUACCUGCAGUCCCAGAUCACAAAGUAAGAAUACCGAGCAGAACUCGUGAGUUUUUUGGAAAAAUUGCUGUAGCUAAAAUAAUCUUUCCUCGGAACAACGUAAUGUGAUCUUCACACCCCUGCAGCCCCACAGACUGUCGGGAGGUGUCAUGGUAAAAUUACACCGAAAAUAUUUUUGUCACGACUAAAAAAAAAAAAAAAAAGGUUUACUAGAUAAGGACUUCAUUCUUUGUGGAUAAUCGGAGAAUUGGUCUUAAAAUAAAUCACAUCAGUUAAAUGGGUAAAUGUUAAGGGAAUGUUUGGAUUAAACAACGAUAGGAAUUAUUUCUUUACCAAAAAAAAAAAAAAA
Molecule: long non-coding RNA, 1146 nt
Organism: Cynoglossus semilaevis (tongue sole)
Lineage: Eukaryota; Metazoa; Chordata; Actinopteri; Pleuronectiformes; Cynoglossidae
Exons: 2
Source: RefSeq, a predicted model, not a curated record